GACGAACGCUGGCGGCGUGCUUAACACAUGCAAGUCGAACGAAGAGCGACGGAAGCUUGCUUCUAUCAAUCUUAGUGGCGAACGGGUGAGUAACGCGUAAUCAACCUGCCCUUCAGAGGGGGACAACAGUUGGAAACGACUGCUAAUACCGCAUACGAUCUAACCUCGGCAUCGAGGAUAGAUGAAAGGUGGCCUCUACAUGUAAGCUAUCACUGAAGGAGGGGAUUGCGUCUGAUUAGCUAGUUGGAGGGGUAACGGCCCACCAAGGCGAUGAUCAGUAGCCGGUCUGAGAGGAUGAACGGCCACAUUGGGACUGAGACACGGCCCAGACUCCUACGGGAGGCAGCAGUGGGGAAUCUUCCGCAAUGGACGAAAGUCUGACGGAGCAACGCCGCGUGAGUGAUGACGGCCGUCGGGUUGUAAAGCUCUGUUAAUCGGGACGAAAGGCCUUCUUGCGAAUAGUGAGAAGGAUUGACGGUACCGGAAUAGAAAGCCACGGCUAACUACGUG
RNAcentral lists this ribosomal RNA (510 nucleotides) under uncultured bacterium. RNAcentral describes it as "partial 16S ribosomal RNA". It matches the Rfam family "Bacterial small subunit ribosomal RNA", at positions 28 to 507 of the family's 1533-position model. The record is from RNAcentral.